UCACGUAACGAAGGGAAGCUUCCAUUCAUCGGGUUGGAUUGUAGCUGCAUACACAACACAAUGAUUAAAGUCUUGGUCUUCUGAUUUUCGCGGAAAUACUGUGGUAGGCGCGUCUCUUUUAUCUUUGGGCAAAAAAAUGGGCUCUGAACUUUUCAAAUAUCAUCCAAAUUCCUACAUUUCUAUCUUCCUGCUCUAGCAUCGCUUGCCUGUCCAAGAAAAUCUCUUUGAGCCUGGCUUUUCUCCUCUAAAGUUAAAAGCUUCCAGUCUGAAGACUAAUACAGAUAAAGUACGAGUUCAUUGAAACUCGUACAGAAACUAUUUUCAAUUUUGGUUUAUUGGUUAAUCUCGUAUUUGAUGUGAAGAUUCCAAUUCAUUUUCUCUUUUUUUUUUUGAUGCGAAGAUUCUGAAUCUUUGUUCUAAUAUUCCUUCAUGUAAAGCUUUCUUUCCUGGCAUAUCUCAUAAUGGGAUCGUCACAAUCACUUCAAUCAGCCGUUGAAGUAGUCUCAAACUGGCAUCCGCAGCCAAGAGAAAGAUUAAUAUUCGAUUGUGGUCGUGCUGAAGUCAGUCAAUACCUGCAGGCGGUAGUCAAGAUUCAGCAAUCAGCAAGCGAUAAUGAUGAGCUCAAAGACAUCAUUUCCAUGGCUGUAACUCGGCUCAAGCAUGAGUUUAGGACCGUAUUGACUAGGCAAACAGAUUCAGCUAUGGGUUCGAAUUCCACGACUGAGUUGAGCUCUUUAACUGACAGCACUGGCUAUCAGUUUCGAUAUGAGGAUUUUGUAGUGCACGAAACACCAAGUGCAGAGGUGAUCCGUUAUCUGCGAAGCAUAGCGGAGACAAUGGAUUCUUGCGGGCAUCUUGAUGUCUGCAUUGAGGUGUACAAGUCAGUGAGGAGGCCUUUCGUGAACGCUGUAUUCAAGAGGCUUCGGCUUGAUGAAUUGAAGGCUGGGGACGUUAAGAGGUUUUUGUGGGAAGAGUUGAGGAUGAAAAUUGAGCGCUGGAUAGAGGCUGCUAGGGUGUGUACCAAGAUUCUCUUCACCAGGGAAAAGCAAUUUGCCGCUCAAAUAUUUUCCGGGCUUGGAAGAACUGCCACUCACGAGGAAUGUUUCCUAUACACAGCCAAAGAUGCUGCAGUUUGUUUAUUCAGUUUUGCCGAAUCUGUGAGCUUGAGUCACCAAUCUCCAGAGAGGCUGGAGGCAGUCCUGAUGCUUUACGAGGUAAUGUUCUCUCUUGCGCAGGAUGUUGGUGCCCUUUUCCCGUCAGAAUCAGCAAAAGCUAUACCAAAUGGCACGGCUGCGACCCUGUCUAGACUUGAGGACGAGGUCAGAAGGAUGCUCUCGGCUUUUGAGAAUGCUGUGCUCCAUGACCUUACGACCAUCUCAGAUGAUGGAGGCAGAGUCCAUCCGCUGACAAAACACGUGAUGGGGUAUGUUAAUCUGAUGGUAGUUCAUAGGAAGAAUCUAGUGAGGUUGAUUGUGUCAAGGCCCUCGAUGACUAUUAGGGGUCAAAAUGUUCCAGGCUCGGAGCUUCAGGACCCCACGAGUCUAAGUCCUUUAGCUUUGCAUUUGGUUUUGAUCAUAGCAGUUUUACAAUCAAAUUUGGAGAAUAAAUCCGAGUACUUCAAGGAUCCUUCUUUGAGGUAUCUGUUCAUGAUGAACAAUGUGAGGUAUAUUGUACAAAAAAUUGAGGGUUCGGGGGAACUGCAAGAGUUGAUUAGUGCUGAUUAUCUGAAGAAGUUAGACGGGUAUGUCAAAGGGGCAAUGACUAGCUAUCAGGAAAUAACCUGUGGAAGGUUAUUGAAUUGCUUGAGAGACGAGGGACUCUAUGUUUGUCGGUGUUUUACUUCUCAAGUGUCAAUUCGUGCUUUGAGGAAAAGGAUCAAGACCGUAAACAUUGUUUUUGAAGAGAUUCGGUCGCUACAAUCAUCACGGGAAGUACAAGAUCUCGGGCUUCGGGAGGAGCUCCGCCGUUCCAUGUUGGAGAAAUUGAUGCCAGCUUAUGAGGGCUUUCUCAUGAGGUUUAGCAGCCAUUUAGAGAGUGGAAAACAGAGAAAAAUGUGCCUCCAGUACGUCCACAGGAUACAUGUUAAGUAUUCCCUCAAGGACCUUGAGGAGUUGAUCAUGACGAAAUUGUUUGCGCGUCAUCAGCUACCUCCAUCAUCAGACUGCCCAGUUGAGAACUCUCAUCUAGGAGGUGGUUAAAUGCAACACCUGGCAAGAUUUAGCAGCAGAGAAUGUAACUUUUCUCCAGUUCUUGGAAAUUGCCUGCACUAUUAGAUGAAAUGCCAGGUUAAGCUGUAUGUUGGAAAUAGUGGUAUACAGUGAAGCCCUUCUUUUACGUGUAUCACAAAAUUAUUUCAUCCCAUUUACAACUUCUGGGAAUAUUCUGAAAAGCUAUUGGGAGGUCCGAAGGAUGAGUUUACUUGGUCGAAAAUUUCAGCUUCGAACACAAAUUAAAUGUGAUGUAGCUCCAGACUUGGAAUUUGACAGAAGAUCAAUCAGCAAGGUUUUUGAUGCAGGGGUACCGAACAAAAUUGAAAGGAAGUGCACAUGGAGAAAGGCACUGUGAAUCAAAAUGGAGAUAAACUCAAGUGUGAUUUUUGCAGUCUAUUGCAGGCGGAGUCUGGAAGAAAAAUCUCAGGUAACACCGAAGAUCAUUUUAGAGAGCAAGGACACUCUUGAGGAGAUGAUCAUUACAAAGCCAUUAAUGGUAUUAGGUGAAUCAACAGUUCCAGAUUUGGAACGAAUCCCGGAAUUGGAAAGACGACGUCUUUUAGCAAUCACUCUGGUCUGGAUCAUUGUAACCUUAGGAUUGAAGUUAGAGGGUAAAUCCCGGAACUACCAAGCUGCAUCCUUGGCACACUUGUUCAUUAUGAACAAUGUUCACUACAUUGUCCGAUGUAUUCAGCAAUCCGGAGAAUUAACUGAGAUGAUUGGAGACAAAUAUCUGCUGCAAGUUAAAAGGAAAAUAUUCAGCAGGCAACAACCAGCUAAUUGAGAUGAACGUGGCAAAGGGUCUUGGAUUGCUUGAGAGAUGGAGGACCACAUGUCAGUCACCUGUUCUAAUCAGGGGUGUCGAACAAAAUUCUGAAAGGAAGGUUCAAGACCUUCAGUGCUUUGGUUGAAGAUAUUCAAAGACUCCAGGUAAUGUGGGAAGUGCCAGAUCCCGAGCUUCGUGAGAAACUUUUACGGUCCAUUUUGGACAAACUGAUUCCUUCCUACGGGGCGUUUCUUGAUCAGUUCAGAAGCCACAGAGAGAGAGAGAGGACAACUACCAAAACGAUACAUCAAGUACUCAGAAGAGGAACUUGAGAGCAUGGUCAGGGGUUUGUUUCUGUAUCACUGACGACUGGAAUGGAACUGUUGCAGGUGCAUUCGCAGAAAUGUGGUUCUUAUCUCUAGUAAAAUAAUUCAUUAAAAAUCAGAACCUGCUCUUAGCAUAUACUACUGAUUCUUUUACUACUAUUAGCGGCGACUUGUUUUCUCGUCUGUCAUGCGGAAGUUGGACCAGCCCUCAUCUGAGGCGCUGAGAAAUUUCCUUACAGGUGCUUUUUGGACUUUUAAUCCACACAGAAAGUAUCUUCA
Coffea arabica (coffee) is the source of this 3581-nucleotide RNA transcript. It is a transcript of the gene named exocyst complex component EXO70A1-like, with no coding region annotated. The record is from RefSeq and is a predicted model, not a curated record. Lineage: Eukaryota; Viridiplantae; Streptophyta; Magnoliopsida; Gentianales; Rubiaceae.